RNAcentral lists this ribosomal RNA (468 nucleotides) under uncultured bacterium. Its description in RNAcentral is "partial 16S ribosomal RNA". It matches the Rfam family "Bacterial small subunit ribosomal RNA", at positions 28 to 507 of the family's 1533-position model. The record is from RNAcentral.
GACGAACGCUGGCGGCGUGCUUAACACAUGCAAGUCGAACGGAAAGGCCCUGCUUUUGUGGGGUGCUCGAGUGGCGAACGGGUGAGUAACACGUGAGUAACCUGCCCUUGACUUUGGGAUAACUUCAGGAAACUGGGGCUAAUACCGGAUAGGAGCUCCUGCUGCAUGGUGGGGGUUGGAAAGUUUCGGCGGUUGGGGAUGGACUCGCGGCUUAUCAGCUUGUUGGUGGGGUAGUGGCUUACCAAGGCUUUGACGGGUAGCAGGCCUGAGAGGGUGACCGGCCACAUUGGGACUGAGAUACGGCCCAGACUCCUACGGGAGGCAGCAGUGGGGAAUAUUGCACAAUGGGCAGAAGCCUGAUGCAGCAACGCCGCGUGCGGGAUGACGGCCUUCGGGUUGUAAACCGCUUUCGCCUGUGACGAAGCGUGAGUGACGGUAAUGGGUAAAGAAGCACCGGCUAACUACGUG